CCUACGGGAGGCAGCAGUGAGGAAUAUUGGUCAAUGGACGCAAGUCUGAACCAGCCAUGCCGCGUGCAGGAAGACGGCUCUAUGAGUUGUAAACUGCUUUUGUACGAGGGUAAACGCAGAUACGCGUAUCUGUCUGAAAGUAUCGUACGAAUAAGGAUCGGCUAACUCCGUGCCAGCAGCCGCGGUAAUACGGAGGAUUCAAGCGUUAUCCGGAUUUAUUGGGUUUAAAGGGUGCGUAGGCGGUCGGAUAAGUUAGAGGUGAAAUCCCGGGGCUCAACUGCGGAAGUGCGUCUGAUACUGGUCGGCUAGAGAGGAGUUGCGGUAGGCGGAAUGUAUGGUGUAGCGGUGAAAUGCUUAGAGAUCAUACAGAACACCGAUUGCGAAGGCAGCUUACCAAGCUACUUCUGACGUUGAGGCACGAAAGCGUGGGUAGCAAACAGGAUUAGAUACCCUUGUAGUC
RNAcentral lists this ribosomal RNA (460 nucleotides) under uncultured bacterium. Its description in RNAcentral is "partial 16S ribosomal RNA". It matches the Rfam family "Bacterial small subunit ribosomal RNA", at positions 338 to 795 of the family's 1533-position model. The record is from RNAcentral.